Molecule: non-coding RNA, 106 nt
Organism: Tricholoma furcatifolium
Lineage: Eukaryota; Fungi; Basidiomycota; Agaricomycetes; Agaricales; Tricholomataceae
Source: the annotation of a GenBank genome assembly
AGCAGCAUGGCGCAGCUGGAAGCGCGCAGGGCCCAUAUUAGGAAAUAUCGGCAACCUACCUGCCUUGGUCACCCUGAGGUCACUCGAUCGAAACGAGUUGCUGCUA